RNAcentral lists this small RNA (3839 nucleotides) under Ixodes scapularis (black-legged tick). RNAcentral describes it as "uncharacterized LOC120850200". The record is from RNAcentral. Lineage: Eukaryota; Metazoa; Arthropoda; Arachnida; Ixodida; Ixodidae.
GACUGGCUACAUAUCGAAACGUUGACCCCGACUAUGCCCGAACCCGUCUCUUCGUUUAUGCGGCUAUCAUUGAACAUAUAACUUUUUGUUUCGCCAAUAUCAAGUAGUAGAAUAUUCUUCUAAAGCUUGCGCAUCAAGAAACCACAAGAGACGUGACACUGGAGGCACCAAUCGCUUCAUCAUCUGGUCAUUUUGGGCAAUCUCUCAGAAGAAAACGCUGUGAAUCAUGCAUCACUUCCUCGGGAAAGCGGCGACCCACCAGCAUAGUCAACUUUUGGAACCACGAGACCUUUUUGUAGUGUAUCAUUGAUCUGAAUGGAGAGGCAGUUUAGAAUCAAAUUGCUGUGGCUUGGUUUUGACAUACUGCAACCCUAUUUUACUAAACCCACUGAGUCUUAUUCAGUGCCAUUCAUGUAAAUGGAGAAUGUGAUCCAGUGUCUAUGCCUUUAUCCUUUCGGAUGCUAGCAAAUUCUCCCACUCGAGCUUGUGCUUUUUGUUUUAACUUGUUUUUAUUUUUUAAACUUGUCACAGAGUGAAGACGGAGCUUUCACUACACCCAUGCCACUGAGUGCAACGGUAUCCACGUGGCAUUACUGCAGCUGGCAGAGCUGCUGUAGUUGCUCCAGUGGCACACUUCGUCGCACCAUGUGGAGACCAAAAUGGAGCUCACCAAUGGUUGCAUGUGGCAUUAGUGUGCAAGCUGACAACCUGUUAAACAUGGAUCUAAGAUAGAAAUGCACCAAUAGAUUUAUAUAAUUCGGAGUGGCAUCUCUUGAUUUGAGAGCAGACGACACUUCAACAGUGUUUUAGUUUAAGAGAACGUGUGUGUUUUUUGGUAACAACAGAUAAAUUGGUAUAUAUGCCGUAAGAUACUGGGCAAAAGCGCCACUUCAUUCGAGCGCCCUCUAUUAACAUUUACUCAACUUGGGAAUUCUGCAAAUGGUACGUUAAGUGCCCGAUUUGACUGGGCAAGUGUCCAUGCCUAGAAUAACCCAGUUUUCAGUAAAAGUAAGGUAGGCGCCCCCCUGGGAUUUUACGAUAAAUGUUUUUUUGUGAAACCGUAAAUUUUUUAAUGGCUGUCUCGCACCAUUAAUGUCAUGGCCCGAUGACAUCAAUGGUAUGUUCACCUAUGACACCAGUGCUGAUCAGCACUGAUGUCAUGGGUGAGCAGUGAUGCCUUUCAUCUUUGUGCAGCCUAUACUGCGUUUUACAGCCUUGACAAGCUACUUUCAGUUAGAAAACAUAACUGCUUUGAUUCCAUGAUUUCGUGCCAAGAGAGCCUCGGAUGGCGAAAGGGACAGCCCCCUCUCAGCAAGGACGGGUCGGACGGGUGACGAAGAAAGAUCCAGCUGCAAAUGUAGAAAGAAAUGCCAGUGUUGCUUCUGCCCUUACUCCAGCCACAUUGUUUCUGAGAUGACGGUACAGAAAAUGACAUAGAUUCCACAAGGGUGAAAGGCCAUUGCAGUGCUAGGUUCACCAAAGAGUUUGCACAAACCUCCAGCUUGCUAUGCCAUUGAAAUGUUCGUACAGAAAAAAUAAAUUAGUGUGGACAUGUAAAAGACAUCUUUGCUCUGUACAACUUUUUGUAUCACCAGACAAUUUGCAUGGAAGAGCAGCCACACAAGUAUUAGCCCAGUGGAAAACCAGUUACAAGACAUUUAAAUGAGCACCAGAAGUGUAGACAUCUAAAAGCUACUAUCGCAUGACGUUUGUAUAGGAUGUUUUCUCAGAAAAGUCAUCAGCAGCUCCCUGGUGCGUUUAAUUGCUGCUAAUGAGCCCUGGUGGUUAAAAUUUCAUGAAUGGUGGUUGCUGCGUAGGAUUAAAUAUUUGCAGUGCUUGCCCACAAUCUUCUGUUGCCCAUUAUCUUGUGUUGAGUAAAUAAAAAAAAAUUAAUUCUCGGAAGCUCUUUUGAAAUUUUGCAUAUAAAAACUGUGCUGGUGUUACAGGAAGCUGUAACUGCAAUAUAUAGCCACCUCGGUGCCUUUGAGGCAGAGCACCAGCUUACGGAUUCCUAGGUGGCGGGUUUAAACCCUGGCCGGGGUGCCUGUGAUAUGACGAAGGCAUAUUGCGGAGAAGGUGCCAUGUAACCGAGAUUUCGGUUGCACAUCGAGAGAUCCCCAGGCGAUCAAGAUUAAUCCUGCCCUCUGCUGGGACAUAUUAGACGCCCUUCUUUGGUUUGGCAUGUAAAACCCCGAAACUUGUUGUUGCAGCUGCACUGUGCACACUAUUGGUAUAAAGUAAAUUUAACGAUUGUUAAUUUUUUUUUUUUUUUUUUCAAUUAUAAACAUUAGUUACUGCCCCUGCAGCUCCAGAAGUGUUUGCAGUCGUGCAAUUCGUAGUAGUAACAAAGCAUACUUGUUUCUAACUUGGGAACUUUGUUUUUUAUAUAUAGGUACACCAUUGGUCAGUGACAGCUUAAGCGUUCAGGGAAAACUCCUCCCUCCCCCUUUUACUUUAGCAGAGCAAACACGAGAGGAGGCAAUCUCUUCAGCAUCCGCUCUGUUAAGGUGGAAAGAGGCGAGAGGAGCUCGCCAAUAGAUUUCUGAGAACAGUUUUUACUGUUUACAAAAUGAAAGUGCCUUGGAGAUGUACAUAAAAUCUAUGUAUGGUGUAGUUGUGGUUGACACUAUAUGAAAGGAUUUCCUUGGGUUACCUUUAAUUUCUUAUGUCUGAAGUUUUUUUUUUGUAUUGUUAAUAAAGUUUUUCUAUUGGUUGAGUAAUGGCAGUAGUACACUUUUGUGUGAUUUGUUUCAUGUGGUGGAUCACUGGAAACAAACUUCUCUGUCCAUGUCUAAUUUUCUUUGUAUGACAUGUUGUACCCAACCCUGCAAUAGCUUUCAGUGGACAGCCAUCAAUAUGUCUAAUCAAAAGUAUUGUCAUUUUGUUAAGGGGUCAGACUGGAUGUCACCUUCUGCCAAAUUAUGUAUUACUUAGUGUUUUAUUCCAAAACUUUCUGUGUGUUCCAGUUGUGUAUAUUGUCAGUGUACUGCGUAUGUUGUCUCUGCAUGUGCAACCGAUUUCCUUUGCACAUGAUGCAUUUCCCAUCUCUGCUAUAGCUCCCAACUGUAGAAGUGUCACAAACUGUGUGAACCUGCAGUGUUCAAUGUUAAAAAAAUCGAAGGGAACUAAAAGUAUGCCUAUUUCACGUGCCUCCCCUACAGGGCCCAUCAAGAUAGCCUCGGACGAUGACUGGCAAGACUUUGACUACGACGACGAUAGCAACCGCUUCUCUUCCCAGGAAGGGUGGUACAGGCCGCGAUCCGGGAGGAAGGCGCACCCGAAGAAGGGUCGGCACAAGUGCCGUUUCUGCUCGUACUCGCGCAACUGCAAGAGCAACAUUGUCAUGCACGAAAGGACUCACACGGGGGAGAAGCCGUUUGGCUGCCGCUUCUGCCCUAAAUCGUUCAGGCAGAAGGGUCAGCUGGUGUGUCAUGAGAGAACGCACACGGGCGAGAAACCCUUCCAGUGCCCCAUCUGCCACCGAGCGUUUGCUCACGUGAACAGCUUGGCGUAUCACAAAAAAAUUCAUGCAGAGCAGAUGAGGGUCGUGCAGCUGUAAUGUCCAACAAACAGCGUUUGCACGAAGCAGUGGUUUAACUCUUCGUCAAACAAAGAAUGAGCCGAGUGAACCUAUACGCUUUAAAUGUCAGUUUAGUAGUCCGCAUACCUUGCAAAGCCGAAGUGUACUGUUCCGAGAAAAGCCUUAUGUCUAGUGUUUUUGCAGCCAUUCUUUCGUGCAAUCAGUAAAUUUUUGUGUGUAAAAUAAUGUGUAACUUCUUGCGGAGGGCAACUGUAGGUGACGAGAUAUGCAUAUCCAAAUAAAAUGUUUGGAGUUAAAA